AUGUCCUGCUUUGUUUCUCAGACGGUUAGCUACAUGGCGGAGCACGUUGUGGGCACUUCAUUUGGCAUCGUCUUUCAGGCUAAAUGCUUGGAAACUGGGGAGACGGUGGCCAUUAAGAAGGUACUGCAGGACCCACGGUACAAGAACCGGGAGCUGCAGCUUAUGCGUUUGAUUAACCAUUCCAAUGUUGUUCUCCCUCAAGCACUGCUUCUUCUCAACCACAAGGAGUAUGUCCUGGAGACACUCUACCGCAUGCUUAAGAACUACAGUAAUGCCAAACAGGGGAUGCCACUUAUCUACGUCAAGCUUCACACCUAUCAGGGGGCUCGCGUACAUUCAUACUGUUCCUAG
RNAcentral lists this ribosomal RNA (351 nucleotides) under Triticum aestivum (bread wheat). Its description in RNAcentral is "partial small subunit ribosomal RNA". Lineage: Eukaryota; Viridiplantae; Streptophyta; Magnoliopsida; Poales; Poaceae. The record is from RNAcentral.